UUUCCGUAGGUGAACCUGCGGAAGGAUCAUUAUUGUAUAACCGGGGUGCGAGAGCUGUCGCUGACCCGAAAGGUCGUGCACGCCCGAGUGCCCUCACACACAUCCAUCUCGCCCCUGUGUGCACCACCGCGUGGGUCCCCCUUUGGCUUGUUCGGAGGGGUGCUUACGUUUUCACACAAACUUUGUAUGCAGUGUAGAAUGUAUUUUUUGUUUUUGCGAUCACGCAAUCAAUACAACUUUCAACAACGGAUCUCUUGGCUCUC
This 263-nucleotide unclassified non-coding RNA is filed under the name plant metagenome. Its description in RNAcentral is "partial contains small subunit ribosomal RNA, internal transcribed spacer 1, and 5.8S ribosomal RNA". The record is from RNAcentral.